This is a non-coding RNA of Pelobates cultripes (western spadefoot toad), 2035 nucleotides long. Lineage: Eukaryota; Metazoa; Chordata; Amphibia; Anura; Pelobatidae. The record is from the annotation of a GenBank genome assembly.
UUUAUUACUUCCUUGUAUUACGUUAUUCUGACAAUGGAAAGAUAAGCUUUUGCAUACGUCUGGAAAAGAAUAUCCUUAAAAUCGGAAUGGGCAAGACAUCCUGAAAUUUAGCAUUGUCUUACAUCCUAUAGAAGAAAUACCUUAGUCUGUCACAGUCAGCAUAUUGACUUUAAGUAUUCAAUAUCCCUUCAGUCAGCAAUAAUCAUGUUAUAAACCUUAUAAAAGCAUAAAAUACAUAUAAACAAGUUAACUAUUUAAUAUUCUUACAUUCCCCUCUUUGAGCAAUAAAACAAUUGCUCAUCUUAUCGAUAAAAUCUUACCAGGACAGAGAAACUUCCACAUGGUAUUUUCAGGGGUGCUAGUCACUCCCUGCGGGACUUUCAUUAAUUUCUUCACCUCGAUUCCCAUGUGGUAAUUCCUAAGGCCCAGUUUAAAGAUGGGUUGAUACUCUACAGUGGCAGAGAGGAGAAUUUCUAAUUGUUUCUGUUCUGCAUUAUGGAUUAAUUUCUGUACUCACUUCCUCAAUGUACAACUAAGGUGACAGUUAUAUAAAAUCAUACACAAUAAAAUCAGGACUAUAAUAACAAAAUGAUAGAAGAAUGAUUUCAUUAUCUGAGAUCCAGUAGGGGACCAACCAGUAAAGCAUUGUACCAAUUAUGGGCUGAAUCAUUCUGAAUUUGUGAACUCACCUUAAGGAGUUCUCCUUUUAGGAUAUGUGUGGCUACCUGUGUGUGUUAUCUUUGGGAAAAAUAUAGUCCCCUGUGUAUGUGGGUGCCCACCAGGUUAAAUUCUUGGCAAAAAGAUCAUAAACUGGUACUGGUAAUGUGUUAAAUUGACAAGCUAAUUUAACAUCCUUUGAUGAUGUAUGAUAUAAUGUAAAAUAGCAUGAGCAUGAAAAAUGUGAAACAUUACCAGUUAACCAUUCAUUGCAUUUAGUGGAUUGGGGUUUUAGAAGUAACCAUUCAUUAUCUGUGAGGUUACACAUUCCUCUAAUCUUCUCUAGUUUAGGAAUCAUUAGUGUGUUUUCUAAUGCCAAUCCUUGUUGUUGUAUCCAUAAAUACCUGAUGGCACAAGUACUCCAGUUACUUAGACCUGUAGUGAAUUUCAUAGUUGCAACAGUUAAAUUAUCUAAAUAAUUAUACAUUGAUUUAUCUAAAUCCAAUCCUAUAACCUGUGAUUUAACAACAAUUGGAGCCCAGUUUGCAGUAGCAUGGAAACCAGUCCCUAUAUGCAUGCUGGCUGUGUUUAACUUAUUCUUGAGGGUCUCCAUAUCUAUAACUAUUUAGUAUACCAUAGUGGUUCCAGCACCAUCUAACAGUGUGUCAUACCAUUCCCUUUUCUGCCUUUGUUUGUUGUAUUACAUAAUGUUACAACAAGAGUAGUGACUUUUAAUGACACAUGUACAGCUUGUAAGAAGGCAGUUGUAUUAACACAUGUGGACGGAAUAGGUGUGUGUGUGUCGUGUUUGACUUUUGGUUCUAUGAUAGUGGAUGAAGGACAGUAAUAAGGUGUAAAAAUAUAAGGUAGUGUAUAGUUCUCAAUUGCAGUGUCGUUCAUAAUGACUAACAUUUGUCCCCUUUUCCAAUUAAUGAUACCAGUUAUAUAAUCAUUAUUAAAAGUAAUAAGGCCUGUCUGUUUACAUUGAUAUGCAACCUUAACUGUGCACAUUUCUGCGUUAUAAGAUCUAACAAUUUUCUGUGAACCUUUAAACAAACAUAAUGCAUCGGUUUCAUUAGCUGUAGACACAUUUCAUAUGGGUAACUGGUACUUAUAAGGGUUACUAUUUGUCCAAUUCAUCCAAAUGCAUUCAGUGAAUGAAUGAUUGCAUAUUACAUGCUGAUAGAAAGGUGGUGGAGAAAGGUUCUUGAGGGGGCGUGUGUGACGAAUGCUAGAUGAGGGGCUAAGGCCUAAUUGGGCUUGGGGUAUUGAAGAAUUGUUCAUCAUGUCAGAGUCUUUUUCCAGAACUUGCCAUUGACUUGUACUCAUAAUGGCAUUCAAGGAACAAUAUCAGAGGGAGUAUAACAACUCCAGAAAG